This 455-nucleotide ribosomal RNA is filed under the name uncultured Skermanella sp. Its description in RNAcentral is "partial 16S ribosomal RNA". Lineage: Bacteria; Pseudomonadati; Pseudomonadota; Alphaproteobacteria; Rhodospirillales; Azospirillaceae. The record is from RNAcentral.
CACGAAGUUAGCCGGGGCUUCUUCUCACGCUACCGUCAUCAUCGUCGCGUGCGAAAGAGCUUUACAACCCGAAGGCCUUCAUCACUCACGCGGCAUUGCUGGAUCAGGCUUGCGCCCAUUGUCCAAUAUUCCCCACUGCUGCCUCCCGUAGGAGUCUGGGCCGUGUCCUCAGUCCCAGUGUGGCUGAUCAUCCUCUCAGACCAGCUAAGGAUCGUUGCCUUGGUAGGCCGUUACCCCACCAACAAGCUAAUCCUACGCGGGCCCAUCCCAUGGCGAUAAAUCUUUGUCCCUCAAGACACAUACGGUAUUAGCUCCAGUUUCCCGGAGUUAUUCCGUACCACAGGGCAGGUUCCCACGCGUUACUCACCCGUGCGCCACUAGGGCCGAAGCCCCUCGUUCGACUUGCAUGUGUUAGGCAUGCCGCCAGCGUUCGUUCUGAGCCAGGAUCAAACUCU